ACGGGAAUAUUCGAAGUACUUGUACAUUGAAUAUUCUAGUGGCGGACGGGUGAGUAACACGUGAGCGACCUGGCUUUCAGAGGGGGAUAACAGUUGGAAACAGCUGCUAAUACCGCAUAAGACCACAGAGGUGCAUGCCUCAGAGGUAAAAGGAGCAAUCCGCUGAAAGAUGGGCUCGCGUUCCAUUAGCUAGUUGGUGAGGUAACGGCUCACCAAGGCGACGAUGGAUAGCCGACCUGAGAGGGUGAUCGGCCACACUGGAACUGAGACACGGUCCAGACUCCUACGGGAGGCAGCAGUGGGGAAUAUUGGGCAAUGGAGGCAACUCUGACCCAGCAACGCCGCGUGAGGGAAGAAGGUUUUCGGAUUGUAAACCUCUGUCCUUGGGGACGAAGGAAGUGACGGUACCCGAGGAGGAAGCCCCGGCUAACUACGUGCCAGCAGCCGCGGUAAUACGUAGGGGGCGAGCGUUGUCCGGAAUUACUGGGCGUAAAGGGUGCGUAGGCGGUAUGAUAAGUUAGAUGUGAAAUCCCCGGGCUUAACUUGGGAGUUGCAUUUAAAACUGUCAUACUAGAGUGCAGGAGAGGAAAGCGGAAUUCCUAGUGUAGCGGUGAAAUGCGUAGAUAUUAGGAGGAACACCAGUGGCGAAGGCGGCUUUCUGGACUGUAACUGACGCUGAGGCACGAAAGCGUGGGGAGCAAACAGGAUUAGAUACCCUGGUAGUCCACGCCGUAAACGAUGGAUACUAGGUGUAGGUACCUAACAAGGUUUCUGUGCCGGAGCAAACGCAAUAAGUAUCCCGCCUGGGGAGUACGACCGCAAGGUUGAAACUCAAAGGAAUUGACGGGGGCCCGCA
This 856-nucleotide ribosomal RNA is filed under the name uncultured Clostridia bacterium. RNAcentral's name for it is "bacterial SSU rRNA". It matches the Rfam family "Bacterial small subunit ribosomal RNA", at positions 66 to 925 of the family's 1533-position model. The record is from RNAcentral. Lineage: Bacteria; Bacillati; Bacillota; Clostridia.